This 213-nucleotide ribosomal RNA is filed under the name Enterobacter hormaechei. RNAcentral describes it as "partial 23S ribosomal RNA". It matches the Rfam family "Bacterial large subunit ribosomal RNA", at positions 2718 to 2925 of the family's 2925-position model. Lineage: Bacteria; Pseudomonadati; Pseudomonadota; Gammaproteobacteria; Enterobacterales; Enterobacteriaceae. RNAcentral also lists the same sequence under 2 other names. The record is from RNAcentral.
GGGUUGUCAUGCCAAUGGCACUGCCCGGUAGCUAAAUGCGGAAGAGAUAAGUGCUGAAAGCAUCUAAGCACGAAACUUGCCCCGAGAUGAGUUCUCCCUGAGACCUUGAGUCUCCUGAAGGAACGUUAAAGACGAUGACGUUGAUAGGUCGGGUGUGUAAGCGCAGCGAUGCGUUGAGCUAACCGAUACUAAUGAACCGUGAGGCUUAACCUU